This 772-nucleotide long non-coding RNA is filed under the name Helianthus annuus (common sunflower). Its description in RNAcentral is "hypothetical non coding rna". The record is from RNAcentral. Lineage: Eukaryota; Viridiplantae; Streptophyta; Magnoliopsida; Asterales; Asteraceae.
UUGUCAAGCUUCCACUGCCUGUACCGACCACAAUCUCUAAACUCAGAUCUAGUUUGUUCAUCAUCUUCAUCUCCCUUCUCUCUAGCUUCAACCAACCUUCACCGCCACCUGUGACCGCCACCACUGACCACUAUCUUCACCGCACUACCACCUGUACUGUCACCAUCUCUAAAUCAGAUCUGAUUCGUUAAUUGCAGAUCUAAAAACACAGGUUCAUCAACGACCACCAUCUUCAUCGGCCUGAUUCGUUAAUUGCAGAUCUAAAAAACACAGGUUCAUCAACGACCACCAUCUUCAUCGGCGACCCUACACCACCUUGAUCCUAAGUCGGCGACCCCACUCUUCUGCUGUAAUGACUGCAUCACCUUGAAUUUCCGAGUCUCCGACUAAGACAAAUUCAGUGGGAUCCUCAAUGCCCCGCCAUCGUCCAGCCAGACUUCAUCGGAGAAAACCCAUAUUCGCCACAUGAAAUGCUGAUGGAUUGUGGUGGUGACAGAGAAGAGAAGGGGAAAUGAUUUAGGUCUGGGUUCUUUAUUUUGGGGAAAAAAUUAGAGAGGGUAGUGGAAAAGACAGAUUUACCCUCAUGUGAUAUGCACAUGAUCCUAUUUAACCAAAAGAAUUAACUGGGUUAGGUUUAAAGGACAUACCGUGCAAGAUUUUGAAACAUUAAGUACAAAACUCGUCAAUUUUAAAGGCAAAGGACACCGCCUGCAAUUUGGUGUAAACAUAAAGGACAAAACUUGUAAUUUACUCUAAAUAAAUUAACAUGAUU